CCUUGUCCCAUCCAUCCCCUCAGCCACCGCCACCUGCUGUCUCCCACUUCGGGAUCCCCAGAUGCAAGCCGAGCCAACCAUCGAGCCCCUCCCGAUCCACUUGCAGCCAACCAGAUCGAGCCAUCCACCACCAUGCACGAAGCUCCCCGCCAGCCCGUGCAACCUCUCUCGCACCGAAGCCGCAGGAGCAAUCGGCUCCAUCGCUGAACCGUAGCUCAGCCCACCGUCGUUCAUGCGUUGUUGACCGCGCCCCUGCAGAAGCUUGAAGCCACGACCGAGCCUGCCCACCGCGUUAGCUCUCAGCCUCCCAUCCUCACCUAUCGGGGCCCCUGCUCCGUCGCGUUGCUGCAGGAGCGGCGAGCCAGCGCUGUUCGCCUCUGCAUCGGACAGAGCGGCUCCAAACAGCCAGCUCAGGCCCAAGGUAAGAAUCGAGCAGCCCCUGCGCUCCAUCCCCAUGCCCGCCGGACCAGGCCAUAAGCUCCCCCGUUGCCUCACUGUCUGUCCUUCCUCUCUCUCCCCGUUCCAUCUCCCAGCUCUCUCUUUUCUCUUGUUCACAGGAACUGGGAAUGGCUCUGUCUGUGCUUCUAUGAGAGCUUGACACCGCACCUUGGAGGAGCCAUGGGAGCAUCGUCCUCCUUGCAUCCGGGCGGAUCCGAAGUCUCAACGCUGGACCCCGCCGUCUCUGUUGCUCCCUGGCCUCCCGCCCUGCAAGCCCCGCCGCCGCGUGCUGCAUCUAAUGGUGUGAUCGGCAUGAGUUCAACGGAAACCAAGUCUCGGCCAUCGGUUUAGUUUAAAUUGCGUAGCGCCCAUUGUUGUACACAAGUACAGUUUUGGUGAAGUGGUUAGCUCCAUUGGUUAACAUCCAGGAGUCUUGGGUUCAAAUCCCACACAAUCCUAUUUUCCUUUUUGGUCCUUUUCCAAUGGACCCCGCCGCGUGCUCCAUUGGUUCAAGUAGGCUUCAUAGAAAGCAAAACCCUGCUUCGUUCAUAGUCUCUUCGUAGCCCAGCUCUUCAGUGAGCAGCGCUAGCACCACGGAGGUCGUGGGUUCAAAUCGAAGACGCUCCAAUUUUUUUGCUUGUUCCUGACUAGGCCACUUGUUACGCACACUCAGCCUCUCAGGCUUGAUCCAAUUCUGGACGCUACACUAUGUUGCAAUUCAGCCCAUCCAUAUAUUUUGUUCUACUGUGAUUCUAUCAAAUUCGAUUCAUGCAUUGUUGUAUGAGUUGUGAUGUUACCUGUUUCGUAGAUGCCAUGUUAAUUGCACGUACCUCAUAUUCAUGCCUCCGGCACAUGGGAAUCCGGUAACCGGGACCACUCCAUCAUUCUUUGGCAUGACACGCAUACACUCCCAAUUCGUUUGCACCGGUAAUUCAUCGAGUUAUCGGAACCGGAACGUGUCAUUACUGUCAUUUCCAUGCAUUUUGCAUCCAUGUCAUAUGAUCUUAUGUUGCUCGUAUCUCUUAGGACGUAACUCUGUUUGCAAUGUUAUAUAUUUGUAAAUUGACUAGAAUGCCGUGUAGAAUCGCAUGCUUCACCUCUUGCCAUGUUAACAACAUUUUAAUAUUGCCGUGUACCUAAACAAGAGAGAACUAAAUAUUUGAAUGUGGAGUAUCGUCAAUAUGCAACUCGUUGCAUAUUGAGCUUCACUUAUUGUGUAGUGUUUAAUUGUUGUGAAUUGCCAUGCCAUGCCUUGCAUAAUUAAACCGAGCAUGC
Molecule: long non-coding RNA, 1713 nt
Filed under: Hordeum vulgare
Lineage: Eukaryota; Viridiplantae; Streptophyta; Magnoliopsida; Poales; Poaceae
Description: long non-coding RNA (HVUL_LNC006952)
Source: RNAcentral